RNAcentral lists this ribosomal RNA (122 nucleotides) under Clostridium autoethanogenum. RNAcentral describes it as "partial 16S ribosomal RNA". It matches the Rfam family "Bacterial small subunit ribosomal RNA", at positions 1 to 121 of the family's 1533-position model. The record is from RNAcentral. Lineage: Bacteria; Bacillati; Bacillota; Clostridia; Eubacteriales; Clostridiaceae.
UUUAAAUUAAGAGUUUGAUCCUGGCUCAGGACGAACGCUGGCGGCGUGCUUAACACAUGCAAGUCGAGCGAUGAAGCUCCUUCGGGAGUGGAUUAGCGGCGGACGGGUGAGUAACACGUGGG